RNAcentral lists this ribosomal RNA (253 nucleotides) under uncultured bacterium. Its description in RNAcentral is "partial 16S ribosomal RNA". It matches the Rfam family "Bacterial small subunit ribosomal RNA", at positions 524 to 776 of the family's 1533-position model. The record is from RNAcentral.
UACGGGGGGGGCAAGCGUUGUUCGGAAUUACUGGGCGUAAAGGGCUCGUAGGCGGCCAACUAAGUCAGACGUGAAAUCCCUCGGCUUAACCGGGGAACUGCGUCUGAUACUGGAUGGCUUGAGGUUGGGAGAGGGAUGCGGAAUUCCAGGUGUAGCGGUGAAAUGCGUAGAUAUCUGGAGGAACACCGGUGGCGAAGGCGGCAUCCUGGACCGGCAUUGACGCUGAGGAGCGAAAGCUAGGGGAGCAAACGGG